CCUGAAGAGCGGCGCACGGGUGCGUACGCGUAUGCAACACCUUUACAGGGGAAUAGCCCGUCGAAAGGCGGAUUAUGCCCCAUGGCUCCUUCGAGAGGCAUCUCUUGGAGGGUAAAGAUUCAUCGGUAAAGGAUGGGCAUGCGUGCCAUUAGCUGGAUGGUGGGGUAACGGCCACCAUGGGCGACGAUGGCUAGGGUUCUGAAGGAAGGCCCCCCACACUGGGACUGAACACGGCCAACUCCUACGGGAGGCAGCAGUGAGGAAUAUUGGUCAAUGGGCGGAAGCCUGAACCAGCCAUGCCGCGUGCGGGAAGAAGGCGCUACGCGUCGUAAACCACUUUUGUCCGGGGGUAACCGCGGGGACGUGUCCCCGCCUGCAAGUACCGGACGAAUAAGGGUCGGCUAACUCCGUGCCAGCAGCCGCGGUAAUACGGAGGACCCGAGCGUUAUCCGAAUUCAUUGGGUUUAAAGGGUGCGUAGCGGCCCGGUAAGUCAGGCGGUGAAAGGCUCCUGCUCCACAGGGAGAAGCUUGGCCGGUUGAUAACUGGCUGGGGGCUAGAAAUCUUUAAGCGAGGGCGGGGGCGGGAAAUUGGCGCGGGUG
This 600-nucleotide ribosomal RNA is filed under the name uncultured bacterium. RNAcentral describes it as "bacterial SSU rRNA". It matches the Rfam family "Bacterial small subunit ribosomal RNA", at positions 87 to 696 of the family's 1533-position model. The record is from RNAcentral.